Molecule: transfer-messenger RNA, 405 nt
Filed under: Endomicrobium sp.
Lineage: Bacteria; Pseudomonadati; Elusimicrobiota; Endomicrobiia; Endomicrobiales; Endomicrobiaceae
Rfam family: transfer-messenger RNA
About the family: Bacterial tmRNA, also known as 10Sa RNA or SsrA, is named for its dual tRNA and mRNA-like properties. Its role is to liberate the mRNA from a stalled ribosome.
Source: RNAcentral
GGGGGUGACAGGAUUCGACGGAAAUGGUAGAGGUAAUGACAGCAGGUCGGAGUUAGUCGAUGGCUCCGAAAAAAUCGACUAAAAAAUAAACGACAAUGAAAUUAUUUCAACGCAAAACUUUAAUAGCUUUGUUGAUUCAAAUGUAGUACCUAUGGUUGCUUAGUUUGAUUUUAUUUUAUCUCUUAGAUUAUAAAAGCUAGGAGAAUGAAAAGUGGCAGAAAUAGGGUAGCUUUUAAAUAGCUUGUUCCGUCUAUUUAAAAUAAAAAAAUAAAACGGUACUGGUUUGUAACGUGUUUCCUGUUUGGAAGAUGGCGUUAUAAAUAAGAGAAUAUUUCCAAACUAAACCUGUAGUUGGUCUUACUAAAACAUUUUCGGACGCGGGUUCAAUUCCCGCCACCUCCACAC